This 405-nucleotide ribosomal RNA is filed under the name uncultured Dehalococcoidia bacterium. RNAcentral's name for it is "bacterial SSU rRNA". It matches the Rfam family "Bacterial small subunit ribosomal RNA", at positions 355 to 776 of the family's 1533-position model. Lineage: Bacteria; Bacillati; Chloroflexota; Dehalococcoidia. The record is from RNAcentral.
CAAGGAAUAUUGUGCAAUGGGCGAAAGCCUGACACAGCGACGCCGCGUGGGGGAUGACGGCUUUCGGGUUGUAAACCCCUUUUCCAGGGGAGGAAUAAUGACAGUACCCUGGGAAUAAGUCACGGCUAACUACGUGCCAGCAGCCGCGGUAAUACGUAGGCGGCGAGCGUUAUCCGGAUUUACUGGGCGUAAAGAGGGCGCAGGCGGCUUGGCAAGUCGGAUGUUAAAUCUCCCGGCUCAACUGGGAGUCAUCAUUCGAUACUGUUAGGCUAGAGGGCAGCAGAGGGUGAUGGAAUUCCCGGUGUAGUGGUGAAAUGCGUAGAUAUCGGGAGGAACACCAGUGGCGAAGGCGGUCACCUGGGCUGUUACUGACGCUUAAGCCCGAAGGCGUGGGGAGCAAACAGG